CCUGGCGGCUGUAGCGCGGUGGUCCCACCUGACCCCAUGCCGAACUCAGAAGUGAAACGCCGUAGCGCCGAUGGUAGUGUGGGGCCUCCCCACGC
RNAcentral lists this ribosomal RNA (95 nucleotides) under Cronobacter muytjensii. The record is from RNAcentral. Lineage: Bacteria; Pseudomonadati; Pseudomonadota; Gammaproteobacteria; Enterobacterales; Enterobacteriaceae.